RNAcentral lists this ribosomal RNA (460 nucleotides) under uncultured bacterium. RNAcentral describes it as "partial 16S ribosomal RNA". It matches the Rfam family "Bacterial small subunit ribosomal RNA", at positions 338 to 795 of the family's 1533-position model. The record is from RNAcentral.
CCUACGGGAGGCAGCAGUGAGGAAUAUUGGUCAAUGGACGCAAGUCUGAACCAGCCAUGCCGCGUGCAGGAAGACGGCUCUAUGAGUUGUAAACUGCUUUUGUACGAGGGUAAACGCAGAUACGCGUAUCUGUCUGAAAGUAUCGUACGCAUAAGGAUCGGCUAACUCCGUGCCCGCAGCCGCGGGAAUACGGAGGAUUCAAGCGUUAUCCGGAUGUAUUGGGUUUAAAGGGUGCGUAGGCGGUCGGAUAAGUUAGAGGUGAAAUCCCGAGGCUCAACUUCGGAAUUGCCUCUGAUACUGUUCGGCUAGAGAGUAGUUGCGGUAGGCGGAAGGUAUGGUGUAGCGGUGAGAUGCUUAGAGAUCAUACAGAACACCGAUUGCGAAGGCAGCUUACCAAGCUACUUCUGACGUUGAGGCACGAAAGCGUGGGGAGCAAACAGGAUUAGAUACCCCAGUAGUC